RNAcentral lists this ribosomal RNA (433 nucleotides) under uncultured Anaerovorax sp. RNAcentral's name for it is "bacterial SSU rRNA". It matches the Rfam family "Bacterial small subunit ribosomal RNA", at positions 341 to 792 of the family's 1533-position model. Lineage: Bacteria; Bacillati; Bacillota; Clostridia; Peptostreptococcales; Anaerovoracaceae. The record is from RNAcentral.
ACGGAAGGCAGCAGUGGGGAAUAUUGCACAAUGGGGGAAACCCUGAUGCAGCAACGCCGCGUGAAGGAUGAAGGCCCUUGGGUCGUAAGCUUCUGUUCUAAGGGAAGAUGAUGACGGUACCUUAGGAGCAAGUCCCGGCUAACUACGUGCCAGCAGCCGCGGUAAUACGUAGGGGGCAAGCGUUAUCCGGAAUUAUUGGGCGUAAAGAGUACGUAGGCGGUUUCCUAAGCAUGGGGUUUAAGGCAAUGGCUUAACCAUUGUUCGCCCCAUGAACUGGGUUACUUGAGUGCUGGAGAGGAAAGCGGAAUUCCUAGUGUAGCGGUGAAAUGCGUAGAUAUUAGGAGGAACACCAGUGGCGAAGGCGGCUUUCUGGACAGUAACUGACGCUGAGGUACGAAAGUGUGGGGAGCAAACAGGAUUAGAUACCCUGGUA